Haliotis rubra (blacklip abalone) is the source of this 97-nucleotide long non-coding RNA. RefSeq lists it as uncharacterized. Lineage: Eukaryota; Metazoa; Mollusca; Gastropoda; Lepetellida; Haliotidae. The record is from RefSeq and is a predicted model, not a curated record. The transcript is spliced from 3 exons.
UCCUGUUCAUGGAUCCUGUGAACCAUAAAAUACAAACGUGGCUUAUGUCAUGGCCUGCCCACUUGGGUUGUAAGACUAAGGCCUGACAAAUAUGUGU